UACAGAGGGUGCAAGCGUUGUUCGGAAUUAUUGGGCGUAAAGCGCGCGAAGGUGGUGCGGUAAGUCUGCCGUGAAAUCUCCCGGCUCAACUGGGAGGGGGCGGUGGAGACUGCCGGACUGGAGGGACCUAGAGGCCGGUGGAAUUCCCGGUGGAGUGGUGAAAUGCGUAGAGAUCCGGAGGAACACCGACGGCGUAGGCAGCGCCCUAGACGAGACCUGACGCUCAGGCACGAAAGCGCGGGGAGCGAACAGG
RNAcentral lists this ribosomal RNA (253 nucleotides) under uncultured bacterium. Its description in RNAcentral is "partial 16S ribosomal RNA". It matches the Rfam family "Bacterial small subunit ribosomal RNA", at positions 524 to 776 of the family's 1533-position model. The record is from RNAcentral.